Molecule: ribosomal RNA, 328 nt
Filed under: uncultured eukaryote
Lineage: Eukaryota
Description: partial 18S ribosomal RNA
Rfam family: Eukaryotic small subunit ribosomal RNA
Source: RNAcentral
CCCUUAGAUGAUUUGGGCUGCACGCGCGCUACACUGACCCUAACAAUGAGCAACUGUCUGGCCUGAGAUGGCUGGGUAGCCUUUUCAACCCAUGUCAUGAUUGGGCUAGAUUUUUGUAAGUCUUGAUCUCUAACGAGGAAUCCCUAGUAUGCGUGAAUCAUCAAUCCAUGCAGAUUAUGUCCCUGCCCUUUGUACACACCGCCCGUCGCACCUACUGAUUGAAUGACUCGGUGAAAAAUCGGGACUGCGAGAACAAUCGAUUAAUUUCGAAUGUACUUGUGGGAACUUUUUUUAACCUCGCCAUUUAGAAGAAGGUGAAGUCGUAACA